Long non-coding RNA from Poecilia reticulata (guppy), 2332 nucleotides. RefSeq lists it as uncharacterized. The record is from RefSeq and is a predicted model, not a curated record. Lineage: Eukaryota; Metazoa; Chordata; Actinopteri; Cyprinodontiformes; Poeciliidae.
CUAUCAAACUUCAAGUCUAGAACUUAUAUUAUAUAAGUAAAAAUUUCUUAUUUCAAGCACAGAAAGCGAAAUCACAUACUUAAUGAAAUGUAUUCAGAUAAUUAAAACAGACUAUGUCCAAAUGGAAUCCUUUGUGUUAUUGUCAAUGAAAAAAAAAAAAAAAAACAUGAACUUAUAUUCUUGUAUAAGUUGGCAGAGUGUACUGGAGAUUAUAAUUGAAUAUUUAAACGGUUGACAUUUAACACAACAAUUUCAGAGACAAUAUCAGUUUAUAUAUCAAGAUAAUUCUUGGCAUGUUUCCAUCUGCUAUGGACCUUAAUCUGAUCUUCUUGAUGCAAGAUGUGGGACCUCUUACUGACAUGUCAUGAAAUUUCUAUUGAUGUGUGAUUUGAAAUGGCUGGUAUUCCACACAAUGAGAUUAGAAUCAACAAUAUUGAUUAGCUCAAUGUCAUGAUAAAUAUUUUAACUUUUGGUUUAUAUUUCAAAUUCUUACUUUAUCAGUUACUAAUAUUAGUUUGAACAAUAUUUUAUUCAUCAUGUUUGUAACCCCUUUUAUGACAUCAUACAAUCCAAAUGGGAAAGCGCCCAAAAUGUCAGUGAGAUAGUAUUAAUGUUCGAUACAACAGAUUUUCUUUCCGAUCCAAUACCGAGUAAAAUUUAAGCUGGUAUUGGCAAUACAGAUCCCAUACUUUGUGCAAAGACAGUUAGUUUGUUUCUUAAUUAAAUAAAAAAUAAAUGUAAUCCAUAUCUUGGCUUCAUAAAAAGAACACAAUGUACUCUGAUGCACUCAUUUUAAACUCAGAAGUAUAUUGAGACAACAAUCUUGUUUACUAUAAGCUAUUUUAACUCAGCAGAAAUAUACAAAACAUGUGAAAAUGGAGUUGCAAACUAAAAAAAAGAAAAUUAGUAAAGUAAUAACCCUACUAAAUAGACUGCUCAAAAAAAUAAAGGGAACACUUAAGUGUUCACUUAAGUGUUUAAGUGUUCCCUUUAUUUUUUUUUAGCAGUGUGCAUCAUUGUUUAAUUAUUAAAACUACUAUAAAAUGGCAGCUGAAAUAGCUCCAUGUCACUUAUUUUAUAAUCUGUCAACAUGUCCAUUUCUGAGUGAGUGAGCGUCAGCAGCACGCUGCGCUUGGGCAUUACGUCCUUACACAUUACAUUCUUACCAGGCGGAAGAAAAAGUAGUUCCCAUUAACAACGUUUCAUUUAGGCAAGAUCUCAAUAAUUUUGUUACUUUCUAACUUGCUCUUGUUAAUCUACAUUAUCUCAAAUUACUAAAGUGUUGAAAGUAUUGAUCCUUGGAUCUGACAAUAGAUUUUAAAGAAUUAAGUUCUGGUAUCGAAAGAAUCGAUAUUUCAGUAUCAAUCCGCACAUCACUAACGGCAACGCCAGAGAUCAUUUAACUGCCCUGAUUAACGGUUAAUUCAGUUGUAACAGCCUAACUAAGCUGUUAUCUACUGUACUUUUAUAAGAUUUUCUUUUGGCAAAUUUUCUAAUCUCGGUUGGACAUGGAUGAAGAUGGAGGACUUUUUACGUGUAUAGACCCUACAGCUGCUGUACUGAGAGUAAACCAAACUGUUGCCAUGGUGAAGCCUAUGCCAGACACGUCUCCAAUCAUGUAUUGCACCAUCUACAAGAAACUUUGGGAAAUGCAAGUGACAGCGUCCUUCACAUUCUCAAGCAGAUGACCCAACAACUUCAAACAAGACCACUUUUCAGCUCUGUGGUGAUCAUGAAACCAACUUUCUACUGGCCAUUGGAACCAUGCCUGCCCUGAUCUUCUGAAAGGAGGACAUCACAACUACUACACCUUUCAGCAUCCGUGUCUGUGGCCACUCCUCUCUGUGCUGCUGACAGAUGUCUUGAGAACAGCGUCUGUAACUGAGGCAAGACUUCCACAUAUAAAAGGCUAUGGCUUAUUGGAAGAAGUUCAUUGCGGAGGAAGCUCCUAUUGUUGACAUCUAAUCCCAAGAUUUUUUUUUUGCUUUGGACAAUUUGGUUUGCUUGACUCUUAGGGCAUCUUAUGAGUGCGGCAGAUGUGUCAGAUCUUCAUUGUUCUGUCAUUUUACAGGAUUGUUUCAGAAUCAGAUGCCCAUCCAGACUUUAUUCUGACCAGUAGACAUGUUUUAUUGUGCUUAUGUGAAACUUAAACGUAAUAAAUAUGUUAAAAGUAAUUGAACUCAUGUCUUCAUUUCAGCAAGCCAAUAACAUCUCUUGUUCCAGUAUUCACAGGAUCAAUUUUUGGAUUUUUGUCUUAGCAUAAGAACCUUGAGUAAAGCUAUGAUAAAAUAUAUAUUUUAAUCCAAUGCAACAAUAAAAAUAAACUAGAUUU